This 672-nucleotide long non-coding RNA is filed under the name Anser brachyrhynchus (Pink-footed goose). RNAcentral describes it as "lncRNA (ENSABRG00000003872.1)". Lineage: Eukaryota; Metazoa; Chordata; Aves; Anseriformes; Anatidae. The record is from RNAcentral.
UCUAUGAGAAUAUUUGAACAUCGCAGUAUUUGGAAACAAACGAUCAGAAACAAAAGGCUGAGUGUAACUUAAUCUUUCCUUUUUGUGGGGUGAGAGAAAGGCUGGAGAAUAUGCAUUGGUUAAAUUUGGUACGCCUUCCUGUGGGGUCCUGAACAUUUCUAGAGAUAAGAGUUUUAAGAGAGGAUAAUUUGAAUACAUUGCUUUCAAGCUGGAUAUCUUUGGUCACCUGCAAAACUCUUAUAUUCAAAAGAUAGCUUUUCUGUCAUGUAGUGUCAUUACAUUGCCUGAAAAUUGUACAAGGAAAUCUCCAACUAAAUCUGUAGAUUUGUUUCUUCUAAUGUGGAAAAGAAAACCUGGACUAAUAGCCGAAACAACAGCAACAGAACAAUUUUUCCUUGUUUCCUUCUACUAAGGGCUGGAAUUUCAGAGGGGGCUGCCUCCAUAGAGAUUGAGGUGUCAAGCCUGUCAGGCUUCUUCAGAGUGCUGGUGUAUGCUGUUUUAUAGGAGUGGGCUCUAAUAUCACGUAGGCUCCAAUAUCUGGCACCUGAUCCUGUAAGUAUGUUAUGCCUUUUCUUAAAAGACUUGUCAGAAUUGCCCUAGUUUCUGAAUCAUAUUUGGAAAUAUGUAUGAAAUAGUGAAAGUUCAGUGUGGUCAGUGCUGAGAUCACUGAUU